AGAUGAUUUGGGAAAUCGAAUAAAAAAAAUGCUUGGUCAAAACUUUAAAAAUUUUUGCUACUUUAAGGUUUUUCUUUGCCUUUUUCAGUCUGCUUUACAAGAACUUGAAGAAUUGAAACAAAUUGUUCCCAAAGAAUCCCUCGUUUACUUCUUAAUAGGAAAGGUUUACAAGAAGUUAGGUCAAACGCACCUCGCCCUGAUGAAUUUCUCUUGGGCUAUGGAUUUAGAUCCUAACGGAGCCAAUAACCAGAUUAAAGAGGCAAUUGAUAAGCGCUAUCUUCCAAAUGAUGAGGAGCCAAUAACCCAAGAAGAACAGAUCAUGGGAACAGAUGAAUCCCAGGAGAGCAGCAUGACAGAUGCGGAUGACACACAACUUCAUGCAGCUGAAAGUGAUGAAUUUUAACUUCUGGAAAUCGGACUUUUACAACUGGAUGUGUGACUAGUGCUGACAUGUUUCUCGUCCCUCCAUAUACUGAGUCUUUACUCUUGAGCCGGCGGUGUCAUCAUCCAUCACUUAUACCAUGAGUGUGCCACUUUCAUUGGACCCUGACUGUAUACGGAAUGAAAGGCAGUGCAAUAUUUAGCUGCUAACAAGACUGGCUCUUUUACCAGUAUGAAUGACAAUUUAUGGGGGGUAGGGUGGGGAACUUUCUUUUCUGUUUUUCUUUAAUCUCCCUUUGUUGGAAAGUAUCAUGAAAGGAAGAGUUAUGUUUUAUCUUGAAGGAACCAUUAGAUAUGGAAAAUAGUGAUGAACCAGAAUUUCUUGGUUGCUUUCUCAAAAAUUUGUUUUUAUUUGGUUCUGUUCCUGAUAAACAGAGUAACUGACCUUCAUUUCUAGGUUCUUCAAGAAUGGUGUUUGCAAGUGCCAGAUGGAACAAUAAAAGACGUUGCCUAUAACAGUAACUUGAUUGCCAAGGAAUGUAAAUUACCUUCAACUUGCAGUGUCUCCCAUAAACAAAUGUAAUGGGCAUAUUGGGACUCGUAUGUAGGAAUCAAAUAUCCCUCCAUACAGUGUACACUUAUUCUUGGCAAGAAUGCUUUAAUGUCUAACCAAGAAUUUUAAUUUAUUCAUCUUGCUUCAAAGUGUUGAUCAUUGUUGUCUUGGUAUUGCAAACUUUAAAAUUGGUUAUACCAUAUUGCCUCUUCUCUUUGAGCUCUGUGGGAUCACCUUUAACAUUCAGAGAUGAUAGAGUGGUUCCCCACUGAGAAGCCAAAACAAGGCCCUUAAUAAUCCCUUAAGUUCACCAUAUCAAUCAGAAUGAGAACACUAAAGUGGACAGACUUUAAGAGAUCAUGAUAGUGAAAGCCUUAAUAUAAUCAGAAUUGUACCAUAACCUUGAAUCUAUAUUUGUUCAAAACAUUAUCCCUUUGACUUUUCUAAGUGUUUGCUUAAGCAGAGUAUAAGAAUGUGCGGUUACCUUUGGUUGAGAUCCUUUCCAUUCUUUUUGACUCUCUGCUUCAGAUUUUUUCAGUAGUGUGAGUCACCAAAACAUUUACUAAGAAUUGGGUUUAGGAUAUUGGAAAUUUUUAGCUUAGGGGAAGAAACAUUCUUAAGAAGGAAAUAGGUUCUCUUCUGAGUUUGUCAUAAUAUCGGUUGGUGUCUUUGGGAAAUGACCACAAUUUUAAGAAUUUAAUUAUGCAUAUAAAUUGAUAAUUAUUGGAAUUCCACCGUAACAGAUUUAAACAGUCUUAAAUUGUUUAUCUCCUUUAUUGUAAUGUAUUGAAAUAUUAGAGAAACUUUAGUUGUUAACAUUUUAUUAAGUGCCAAUGUCAGAAUAUAACAAAUUAUAGUUUCUUUUGAAUGACAGGCCUACAGUUAUUAUUUUGGAUUAUUUGAUGAAGGACAAACUUACCUGUAUUUGUUAGUCAAGCUGUGAAAAUAAGGUGGAUUACAAAAGAUGUGAAAAAAAUUGUAGCCUGUAGACUCAGUAAUUUUCUAUAAUUUACUGUUAAUCUCAUUUGAAUAUGGAUUAGGUACAAUUAUAAAUUAAUUCAAGUCAGGGUCUUUAGGUAUCAGGUGCCAGAGAGAUAUUUAACAGAUUUCCCUACCUUAAUUUAUGUAUACUGUCUAAAAAAAUACUAAAUAUGUAUUACUGUCUAAAAAAAUACUUUUUAAAAAAAAGGAACAGUUGGGAGAAAAUAAAUAUAAUGAAAAAUUCCCAGAGGCUAGCACUUGGAUUCUAACGCGUAUGCUAUUGUAUUAUCCAUUAGUUCUGUAAUAUUUAAUUUUAGAUUCUUUUAUAUUUUUAAUUGGCAAAGCACAAGGUGCUGUGUAACAGUGUCAUUUAGAGUUUUAUAGAAAGCUUCAACCUGAGUUCUGCGUUUUAAAGCCUGGAGAAAGCUAAGCUUAGAACAUAAUUUGCUGAAGUAUAAUUAUCUUUUUGUAGUAGGAAUUUAUGUCCUGUGCCACAAGUGAGAGUCUUUCUGGUACUGAUUUUUUGAGACCAAGGAUAAAAGGAUCGUUUUGUAAGACACGCCAUGGCAAUCAAUGGCUGGCUGGGGGACAGUUUCCGCCCAAGCUUGGCCUAUUUUAUUUUUCCUCAUACCUACUUUUAAAAUUAUUAGGUAUCUGAAGCCUUAUUUCCCACCUAGUAACACUUUCUGGCUUUUGCGGUUUCUUUUUUUUGUUUUGUUUUUUGCAUGGAAUGGGGAUCAAACAACCAGAAGAAGAACACAUUUUGAUCAAGCAAAAUGUUUGUUUCAAACAUCAGAAGUUUAUUUUACAGAAAUUAAAUUAAGUAGUUUGACAUCCUUUUCUCUGUUUCACACACAUAUUAGGUUGGUGCAUAAGUAAUUGUGGUUUUUGCCAUGACUUUUAUGGCAAAACCUGCAGUUACUUUUGUACCAACCUAAUACAUAUAUAUGUGCACACACUUGCUCAGAAGCUAUGUUGUGGCCUUGGAUUUGUUUUUCCCCUUGGAAAUGGUUCUUAACUCUGGGAUUUUAGAAGGUUAGAAUAUUUUUUCAAGAGAACAGUGGUACUCAAAAUAAUGAAAGGUGGUCCCUACAUUUUCUGUAUUCAUCACUUAAAAUUUUUUAUUUUUCCAAGAACUACAAGUAACAUUUGAACCAUGCUGCUGUUGUACCUUAAACAAAAACUCAGUGAUAACCAGUAUUUAGUCUAUUAAAAAUGCUCUUUUUGAAGAAAACAGUUUGGAAGUCUCUGAUUAGCCAGAGUAUAGUAUGAGUCUUCACUGAGAAAUACGGUGACCCAUUUUCUUUGUGAAAACCUGGGAAAAUGCAAGUGUGGGUGUGAAGUGUGUGUUCUGUUUGCAUUGAAACAAUGUAAUUUUGUGUCUUCUUUUUGCUUUAACUGACUUAUUUCAGAAAUUGUACAGUCUUGAGGGGGAAAGUCUUUUCUGUUAAUAUAUUUGCAAUUCAUUAAAGGAUAUGGAAAAUCCAAAUAAGUUACUUUUGAAAGCAAUUGAUAAUCAAGUUGUUAAAGCUAUAUGAAAGCUGUGCCAUCUGUAUUUUAAUAAGAAGGCACAGAAAAAUAGAGAUACAGUUUUAUGUUUCACAAAAAUCUAGAGCAAUGUUUAUCUAAUUUUUUAAAACUUACACUCUCUUUUAAUAUAUUUAUAUUUUUAAACGGUCAUACUCUUUUUUAGUAUUAUUUGGAAUAUCAAAAUAAAUACUAUGACA
Molecule: long non-coding RNA, 3642 nt
Filed under: Rhinopithecus roxellana (golden snub-nosed monkey)
Lineage: Eukaryota; Metazoa; Chordata; Mammalia; Primates; Cercopithecidae
Description: lncRNA (ENSRROG00000046008.1)
Source: RNAcentral